AUGAGGGGACGCGGCUGCGAGUACGCCACCGGCCGUGCGGAUCGGGUGGGAAAGAGAAGUUGGCGGCGGCGGCGGUUUCAAUAUGUGAUCUGCCACCAGCGCCGCCGGAGGGACGGAAGAAAGCAUCUGAGGGGCGGCGCAGGCCCGGGCUCGGGCAGCCACCAUGGCGUCAGAUGCGCCGGCGGGGGCCUCUUCCUCGUAGCAAGGCGUGGCCCUGCUCCUCCCCAUGGCGUUGAUGACAAGGCGGGCGGCGACGCGAGCUCUCGUCCCGAGGAAGCCGCGGGAGGACGAGUACAAGCCAGACCAGGUCGACGUGCCCCCCUGCCACACCUCCUUCUCCUGCGGGUUGGUUGCUGCUGUUGCUGGUGCCGUUCGUGUCCGAUUCGACUGGCCUGCCAUUUGCAGGAGGCUGCAAGAUUUGUUGGUGAGCUUUUCCUUUUCUUCCUCUCUGGUCUAAUAGGUGUUUAG
RNAcentral lists this ribosomal RNA (468 nucleotides) under Triticum aestivum (bread wheat). Its description in RNAcentral is "partial small subunit ribosomal RNA". Lineage: Eukaryota; Viridiplantae; Streptophyta; Magnoliopsida; Poales; Poaceae. The record is from RNAcentral.